RNAcentral lists this ribosomal RNA (918 nucleotides) under uncultured archaeon. Its description in RNAcentral is "bacterial SSU rRNA". It matches the Rfam family "Archaeal small subunit ribosomal RNA", at positions 1 to 922 of the family's 1478-position model. The record is from RNAcentral.
UUCCGGUUGAUCCUGCCAGAGGUCACUGCUAUCGGUGUUCGACUAAGCCAUGCGAGUCAAAUGUUCUUCGUGAACAUGGCGUACUGCUCAGUAACACGUGGAUAACCUGCCCUUAGGUCCGGCAUAACCCCGGGAAACUGGGGAUAAUUCCGGAUAGAUCAUAGAUGCUGGAAUGCGCUUUGAUCCAAAGCUAUUGUGCCUAGGGAUGGGUCUGCGGUCUAUCAGGUUGUAGUGGGUGUAAUGUACCUACUAGCCUACGACGGAUACGGGUUGUGGGAGCAAGAGCCCGGAGAUGGAUUCUGAGACAUGAAUCCAGGCCCUACGGGGCGCAGCAGGCGCGAAAACUUUACAAUGCGGGGAACCGCGAUAAGGGGACACCGAGUGCCAGCAUCCUAUGUUGGCUGUCCAUAUGUCUAAAUCACAUGUGUUAGCAAGGGCCGGGCAAGACCGGUGCCAGCCGCCGCGGUAACACCGGCGGCCCGAGUGGUGGCCACUAUUAUUGGGUCUAAAGGGUCCGUAGCCGGUUUGGUCAGUCUUCCGGGAAAUCUGACGGCUCAACCGUUAGGCUUUCGAGGGAUACUACCAGGCUUGGGACCGGGAGAGGUAAGAGGUACUACGGGGGUAGGAGUGAAAUCUUGUAAUCCCUGUGGGACCACCAGUGGCGAAGGCGUCUUACCAGAACGGGUCCGACGGUGAGGGACGAAAGCUGGGGGCACGAACCGGAUUAGAUACCCGGGUAGUCCCAGCUGUAAACUAUGCUUGCUAGGUGUCAGGGACGGUGCGACCGUUUCUGGUGCCGCAGGGAAGCCGUGAAGCGAGCCACCUGGGAAGUACGGUCGCAAGGCUGAAACUUAAAGGAAUUGGCGGGGGAGCACUACAACGGGUGGAGCCUGCGGUUUAAUUGGAUUCAACGCCGGG